This is a long non-coding RNA of Astatotilapia calliptera (eastern happy), 1811 nucleotides long. NCBI's taxonomy places the organism in Eukaryota, Metazoa, Chordata, Actinopteri, Cichliformes, Cichlidae. The record is from Ensembl.
GUCCCACCGGGAGGAGGCCCCGGGGCAGACCCAGGACACGCUGGAGAGAUUAUCUCUCGGCUGGCCUGGGAACGCCUUGGUGUUCCCCCGGAUAAGCCGGAGGAGGUGGCUGGGGAGAGGGAGGUUUGGGCCUCUCUGCUCAGGCUGCUGCCCCCGCGACCCGGCCUCGGAUAAAGCGGAUGAAGAUGGAUAGAUGGAUACUAAUAAUUAUCAAAUACUCAAACUUAAGACAGAUCAUUUCAAAAUCUAAAAAAAUCUUUUUCAGCUCACGAUAACCUAAUAAUCACAAUCUGGAUGACCACACAAGCUUGUAAAGUUUGUGCACUUUCAGUGAUUUAUUUUCAUCCUUUGACCUUUUUCUCCUAUAAACUUUUUUUUAAUGAUUGUUUUAAAAUCUAGAAUAUAAUAUUUAAACAAACUCCUUGUGGCCGCACCCUCACAGCCUGCACUUUGCAACCUACCAUUAUACUGUUAAUUAAUACUCGACUCAAGCUCAUUUAGCUUUACAUUACAAAGAAAAUAUAUCAAAAUAGUCUGAAAAUAUUAGAAGAAAAAUCAAUGAAAUGAGUCAUUGAUGGCAUGAUUCAAUUGUAGCUACCAUCACGCUGCUAAACAUGCAGCAUUUAAGCAGAAGUGGCCCAAUAACUGAGCCUUGGGGAACAACAUAUACUUACUCAGACAUACAGUUAUAAACACCCAGUGGUCACUAACAAUUUAAAUGAAUUAAUAGUUCUGUAUAAAUUCUGUAUAAUAGAAAUUAUACAGAAUUUUCCAGUAUUGUAUCUGUAGCAGCGGAGCAGCAGAAGCAGCAGUUUACAUUCUGUGUAAUUCAAAGACUGAACCUUCACACAUGAACACAGACCCUAGCUCCAAUCACCACCUGGCUGCUAAAGAAGAGGAAGAAGAGGAAGGGCAAAAGAAAAACAUGGUUGCAUAAAAAAUUAGCUCCAACACCCAAAACACCAAACCAACAACCACAGAGAAGACAGCCUGUUGAAAACAGAAAAGGAAAAGAAAAUCAUAGAGGUGCUUGGCCCUCACCUGAUCCUCAACACAAUCAGAGACAGGCAGGUAAACUUGAAAGGAAAGAGACCAGGACUGAUGAGAGCAAGCAUAGAGUGGCGAAGAGGGGUGGAGCCUGAUUGUAGUGAGACACCCCUCCCUUGAGAAUGGCUGGGACAUACCGCACAGUCAGAUACUGGUGUGGCAUCUGGAAACGGCUUGCAACGAGGUUUGGUGAGGAGGCUGCCCUGAUGGAGAGAUGACAUGAGGUGGGACUAGGCAGACACAGAGACACAGACAGAUGGAUGGAAAGGAAGACUGAAGAUGUGCUAAGAGAUCAAAUAAAACCAUUUCAGACUACAAAUAUCCACAUUACAUACACACUCUAGAACUGUGGACUUGGAUGUGUUUAUUGUUUUUAGUGUGACACUAACCAGCUAAACACUCAGCUAAUCUGACUAGCUGAUAGUCACAGUAAUAUGCAUCUUGGUUAGUAGGAAACUACUUGUGGAUAAUACGACUUCAGUAAAGCAUCAUAAGACUGAUAUAUCCAUCGAUCAGCCCCAACAUUAAAACCACCAUCCUGUGGUUAAGCUGCACAUCCUUCUGUUGGCCUCAGGAUCAGGUUAGUUCCCACAGAUGCACCGUCAGACUGGGAUAGGCGUGUUAGGAGGCCAGCUCAACGACCUGGGCUUGGACUUAUAAUAAUCACAUGAUAUGUGGUUCUAAUGUUGGGCUGAUCCAUAGCUGUUAGCAAACUUUACGCUUCAUUCAUUAAGUUGGUGUCACUUCACUAACAAGCUGCCUGC